AGCAGCCGCGGUAAUUCCAGCUCCAAUAGCGUAUAUUAAAGUUGUUGCAGUUAAAAAGCUCGUAGUUGAAUUUCGGGGUUAGUAGGUUGGUCAUGCCUCUGGUAUGUACUGGUCUCACUGAUUCCUCCUUCCUGAUGAACCGUAAUGCCAUUAAUUUGGUGUUGCGGGGAAUUUGGACUGUUACUUUGAAAAAAUUAGAGUGUUUAAAGCAAGCUAACGCUUGAAUACAUUAGCAUGGAAUAAUGAAAUAGGACGUUCGAUCCUAUUUUGUUGGUUUCUAGGAUUGACGUAAUGAUUAAUAGGGAUAAUUGGGGGCAUUAGUAUUCAAUUGUCAGAGGUGAAAUUCUUGGAUUUAUUGAAGACUAACUACUGCGAAAGCAUUUGCCAAGGAUGUUUUCAUUAAUCAAGAACGAAAGUUAGGGGAUCGAAGACGAUCAGAUACCGUCGUAGUCUUAACCAUAAACUAUGCCGACUAGGGAUCGGAUGAUGUUAAUUUUUUAAUGACUCA
RNAcentral lists this ribosomal RNA (508 nucleotides) under uncultured Glomus. RNAcentral describes it as "SSU rRNA". It matches the Rfam family "Eukaryotic small subunit ribosomal RNA", at positions 569 to 1078 of the family's 1831-position model. The record is from RNAcentral. Lineage: Eukaryota; Fungi; Glomeromycota; Glomeromycetes; Glomerales; Glomeraceae.